AUGAAAAGAAUAGACAAGAGAGACAAGUUUCCCAGCAGGAAGCUUGCUGACGAGCGGCUGGAGCCCUGGAGCGCAGGGGACAGAAUCCCACCCAAGCUCAGCAUUCGGUUGCGUUUUGCCCGGGGCAAGACCUGUGCUAAUACCAGAACGAUCCGCUGCUCUAAAGAACUUCAAACACUAAAGCGUACAUUAGGAAGCAUACGCGAUGCUCUCAGAUGCGUUUCUCAUGAUCAAAACUGCAGAGAUCCAGAGUUCAGUGGAGAUGCCAUGGGAGCUGAACUCCGUUUGCAGGCCCACCUUAGGGUAGAUGCUGUCUGCAAGGGCCCUGCCUCCUCUUGGGUUAUCAUCUUCCUCUGCUUCCUGCCUGCAGACCAAAGAAAACCCCAGGCACAGUGGCUUCAUUAA
This 405-nucleotide long non-coding RNA is filed under the name Cyanistes caeruleus (blue tit). Its description in RNAcentral is "lncRNA (ENSCCEG00000010746.1)". Lineage: Eukaryota; Metazoa; Chordata; Aves; Passeriformes; Paridae. The record is from RNAcentral.